RNAcentral lists this ribosomal RNA (488 nucleotides) under uncultured bacterium. RNAcentral's name for it is "partial 16S ribosomal RNA". It matches the Rfam family "Bacterial small subunit ribosomal RNA", at positions 30 to 523 of the family's 1533-position model. The record is from RNAcentral.
AUUGAACGCUGGCGGCAGGCCUAACACAUGCAAGUCGAGCGGGGUUUUCGGACCUAGCGGCGGACGGGUGAGUAAUGCGUAGGAAGCUGCCCGAUAGAGGGGGAUACCAGUUGGAAACGACUGUUAAUACCGCAUAAUGUCUACGGACCAAAGUGUGGGACCUUCGGGCCACAUGCUAUCGGAUGCGCCUACGUGGGAUUAGCUAGUUGGUGAGGUAAUGGCUCACCAAGGCGACGAUCUCUAGCUGGUUUGAGAGGACGAUCAGCCACACUGGAACUGAGACACGGUCCAGACUCCUACGGGAGGCAGCAGUGGGGAAUAUUGGACAAUGGGCGCAAGCCUGAUCCAGCCAUGCCGCGUGUGUGAAGAAGGCCUUCGGGUUGUAAAGCACUUUCAGCGAGGAGGAAGGGUGGUGUGUUAAUAGCACAUCAUUUUGACGUUACUCGCAGAAGAAGCACCGGCUAACUCUGUGCCAGCAGCCGCCGCCG